This 438-nucleotide long non-coding RNA is filed under the name Heterocephalus glaber (naked mole-rat). Its description in RNAcentral is "lncRNA (ENSHGLG00000048316.1)". The record is from RNAcentral. Lineage: Eukaryota; Metazoa; Chordata; Mammalia; Rodentia; Bathyergidae.
CGGAACCCGGGAAUCUUCUGGAAGGCUGGCGGUGGAGCCUAGCUGUUAGCUCCCUCCGGGUCCGAGGUCUGAGCCGCGCAGGCGCGGCCUCCCUGCUUCGAAAUGGCAGCAGGAGCUCAGCAGUGGAGGACGAAGAGAGGGCCCUGCUCUGGCCGGCAGCGGAGCACAGCGGCCGCCAGCGAGGGAGGACGCCAGGGAACACCUGGUCCCAUGGCACUCUGUCCACUCUUGGCUUCUUCCACAUGUUUGUAAGCGGAUCAGAACACCCAUCUGCUAUGGUCUUUGAAAUGUAGAGUUGCACUGAUGUGUAACCAACUUCCUUCACACAGAAUUGAGAUCAAAGCCCUCCAGGAAUGGUGGACUGUCAUAGCUCAAAGAGCCAGCCAGAUCAUCCACUGAAAACUUCAUUUUUUAGAUAAAGAAAAUGGAGCCCAAAAG